ACGUCCUCCCGUGCACGCCUCUUCAUUCGUGGCCCAUGAGCAAUGUUAGCCUUGGCCGAGUCCCGGUUUCCUGUGUUGCAUACCUACUGUGAAGGCAUUCGCUUGUCCCAUCGUCCCACGUUCGUCUUGUGUUGCCCUUCGGGGUGCCUCACGUGAUGAACCACGAAGCUUCCCUCGUGAUCCAAGACACGCGCGCCGUGUCUUUGGCCCAUGAAGCGUUGCUCGAUCUCUCGGAUGCAGAACGCCUUGAGGGUAUGGGGUCUCACGGCCUCUAUUUUGCCCGAACAAGCGUUCGUCGCUAACUAGCGUACGACUGCUGUCCUCGCCUUCGGCGGUCGUCCCUCCGGGCGGCUUGUCGAUGCUCGGAUAGCGUCGUUGAGGAAUGCU
Molecule: unclassified non-coding RNA, 387 nt
Filed under: Amsonia elliptica
Lineage: Eukaryota; Viridiplantae; Streptophyta; Magnoliopsida; Gentianales; Apocynaceae
Description: partial external transcribed spacer
Source: RNAcentral